Long non-coding RNA from Juglans microcarpa x Juglans regia, 464 nucleotides. RefSeq lists it as uncharacterized. Lineage: Eukaryota; Viridiplantae; Streptophyta; Magnoliopsida; Fagales; Juglandaceae. The record is from RefSeq and is a predicted model, not a curated record. The transcript has 2 exons.
CAUAGGGCUAAUAACUCUAGCUAGAUGAAUAAUUGCACUUCUUCUAUACCAUUCACACUUUUUUAAGUUACAACAAUAAUGAUUAAGUUAUAUUUUAACUUUGAUUUAUUUACUUAUUUCUUUCUAUUGCAUAAAACUUGAAAAAGCAAGGCAUGAAUCUAAAUCCAAAGAUGAAUCUUUGAGGAAGCUAGAAGAGAACAUAUAGAACCUUGAGAGCAGGGCAAAAGGCAAAGAUUAGAGUCAUAAAAAUCUACAUGAGAAGAUCAAAAAACUUGAAACAGAUUGAGUUGAAGGCAGCCAUCUACAACCAAUAUGAGAAGCAACUUUAGGAAUUAUCUGAGAGAUUGAAGGGGAGGGAAGAAGUCAAAGGGUUGGAGACCAAGCUCGUAGAAUAACAACACUCAAAAUUUGCAUAUUUUCAACAGAAUGUUUGUGUAUCUAACUCUAAAGUGUGAAUCAUUUAU